This is a long non-coding RNA of Hyla sarda, 331 nucleotides long. RefSeq lists it as uncharacterized. The transcript has 3 exons. Lineage: Eukaryota; Metazoa; Chordata; Amphibia; Anura; Hylidae. The record is from RefSeq and is a predicted model, not a curated record.
CUGCACUGUAGCAGGAGAAGAACACAGCCAGCUUGUGCUGCCCAGGAGAUCCCUGUGUGGGAAAACGGUGACCUAGGAAAACGUCUUGCAAUAAUAACUGUUUGGAUGUUUUGUGAUCGCUGACGAUGCUGAGUAAAAAGGAUGACCACCUUCAAAUAUCCUCUGGGAUAAAGAUAUUUUCAGUAGCACAGGCCUUUUAGAUGAAACUGUCACAAGAGUAUUGAGAUUUUGCAAAUGGAACCAAGGAAACAUACAACAAAAUCUCUUGUCCUUCCUUCCCAGAUAGAUUGUUGAACAAGCUGAUUUAUGAGAUUAAAAGAUGUCUAAUCUC